UACGUAGGGGGCUAGCGUUGUCCGGAAUCAUUGGGCGUAAAGAGCGUGUAGGCGGCUCGGUAAGUCCGCUGUGAAAGUCCAGGGCUCAACCCUGGAAUGCCAGUGGAAACUGUCGGGCUAGAGUCCGGAAGAGGCGAGUGGAAUUCCUGGUGUAGCGGUGAAAUGCGCAGAUAUCAGGAGGAACACCAAUGGCGAAGGCAGCGCGCUGGGACGGUACUGACGCUGAGACGCGAAAGCGUGGGGAGCAAACAGG
This 253-nucleotide ribosomal RNA is filed under the name uncultured bacterium. Its description in RNAcentral is "partial 16S ribosomal RNA". It matches the Rfam family "Bacterial small subunit ribosomal RNA", at positions 524 to 776 of the family's 1533-position model. The record is from RNAcentral.